Molecule: ribosomal RNA, 642 nt
Filed under: Demanietta merguensis
Lineage: Eukaryota; Metazoa; Arthropoda; Malacostraca; Decapoda; Potamidae
Description: partial large subunit ribosomal RNA
Rfam family: Bacterial large subunit ribosomal RNA
Source: RNAcentral
UUAUUUCUUUGCCUGUUUAUCAAAAACAUGUUUGUUUGAAGAUAUAAGGAAUUUGGCCUGCCCCCUGAUUAGUUAAAGGGCCGCAGUAUUAUAACUGUGCAAAGGUAGCAUAAUCAUUAGGUUUUUAAUUGAAAUCUUGUAUGAAUGGUCGGACAAAAGAAAAUCUCUCUUUAUAUUAAAUUUGAAUUUAACUUUUAAGUGAAAAGGCUUAAAUAUUCUAAAGGGACGAUAAGACCCUAUAAAACUUUAUAUUAUGAUUAUAAUUUAUUUUAAUUUGAAAAUAAAGACUUAAUUAAAUUAUUUAUUGUGUUGGGGUGAUAUGGGUAAAAUUUGUUUUAACUGCUUUAGGAGUUGAACAAUUAUAGAUGAAAAUAAUAGAUCCUUUUUAAAGAUUAGUAGUUUAAGUUACUUUAGGGAUAACAGCGUAAUUUCUUUUAAGAGUUCUUAUCGAAAAAGAAGAUUGCGACCUCGAUGUUGAAUUAAAAUAUCUAUAUGGUGGAGGUAUUAUAUGAGAAGGUCUGUUCGACCUUUAAAUUUUUACAUGAUUUGAGUUCAAACCGGCGUGAGCCAGGUUGGUUUCUAUCUUUUAGGAUUUAAGAAAUUAUUUUAGUACGAAAGGAUUAAAUAAUUAGAAUAAUUUUA